Molecule: ribosomal RNA, 252 nt
Filed under: uncultured bacterium
Lineage: Bacteria
Description: partial 16S ribosomal RNA
Rfam family: Bacterial small subunit ribosomal RNA
Source: RNAcentral
UACGGAGGAUGCGAGCGUUAUCCGGAUUUAUUGGGUUUAAAGGGUGCGUAGGCGGACUGUCAAGUCAGCGGUAAAAUUGAGAGGCUCAACCUCUUCCCGCCGUUGAAACUGGUGGUCUUGAGUGGAUGAGAAGUACGCGGAAUGCGUGGUGUAGCGGUGAAAUGCAUAGAUAUCACGCAGAACUCCGAUUGCGGAGGCAGCGUACCGGCAUCCAACUGACGCUGAGGCACGAAAGCGUGGGGAUCAAACAGG